RNAcentral lists this transfer RNA (73 nucleotides) under Mycobacterium sp. AZCC_0083. RNAcentral's name for it is "tRNA-Trp". It matches the Rfam family "tRNA". Rfam says of the family: Transfer RNA (tRNA) molecules are approximately 80 nucleotides in length. Their secondary structure includes four short double-helical elements and three loops (D, anti-codon, and T loops). Further hydrogen bonds mediate the characteristic L-shaped molecular structure. tRNAs have two regions of fundamental functional importance: the anti-codon, which is responsible for specific mRNA codon recognition, and the 3' end, to which the tRNAs corresponding amino acid is attached (by aminoacyl-tRNA synthetases). tRNAs cope with the degeneracy of the genetic code in two manners: having more than one tRNA (with a specific anti-codon) for a particular amino acid; and 'wobble' base-pairing, i.e. permitting non-standard base-pairing at the 3rd anti-codon position. Lineage: Bacteria; Bacillati; Actinomycetota; Actinomycetes; Mycobacteriales; Mycobacteriaceae. The record is from RNAcentral.
GUGAACGUAGCUUAAUUGGUAGAGUCCCCGCCUCCAAAGCGGGUGGAUGCACGUUCGAAUCGUGCCGGUUACG